This 429-nucleotide long non-coding RNA is filed under the name Helianthus annuus (common sunflower). The record is from RNAcentral. Lineage: Eukaryota; Viridiplantae; Streptophyta; Magnoliopsida; Asterales; Asteraceae.
AUGUAGACUCCAUCUAGAUCUAGAUCUGGACCGUCAUCUAGAUCUGGAUCCAUCAUGUUUCUUUUAAACCCGUUAAGAUCUAGAUCUGGAUCCAUCAUGUUUCUUUUCAAACCCCAUGAAGACGGAUUCUCUUUGGUUUAUUUUAAAGAAAAUCUUACACGAAGAAGAUGAUGAACCAGAUAUCGAAGAGAAGGCUGAAGUUUUUGUUCGAAACCAGGGAAAGAUCAGAUCUGUACCGACCAAAACAAUUUGAAGUUGAUGUUUCAGAUGUUGAAGAUGAUUCAAAAGAUGUUUGAUGUUAAACAUAGUUACGAAAUGUAACAAUCAAAGAAAAAAUGCAUGUUACAUUUUUUCGUGUUACAUGAAUAAUGCACGUUACUGAAAAUAAAGUGGAUUGUUACACUUUUUAGACUGUUGUAAAAAUAAAGU